RNAcentral lists this long non-coding RNA (1143 nucleotides) under Xyrichtys novacula (pearly razorfish). Lineage: Eukaryota; Metazoa; Chordata; Actinopteri; Labriformes; Labridae. The record is from RNAcentral.
GGGCAGAGAUUUAGGGGUAUUUGUGCGUGCUCUAUAUUACAGUUGAAAAGUUUAUGUGACAAGAUGAUUAACGUUUCCUUUUGUUAAAUCAGGGCUUCCCCAGCCAGGACUUCGGCUCAGACUGUGGAAUCUUCAUGUUGAUGGUAGGUCAUAACGAGCUGUAAUGCACAAAUAUUGUAGUAUCUAGAAUAACUUUCCAACAUGGACUUUUUUAAAGUUAUCUCACAUGUUGUCGCAUAAUUUUUUUUUUUGUAAGUUUGCCAUGUACAUCGUUAUGGAGUCACAGUUUGACUACUCAGUUGUAAGUACUUUUCAACACGCAGUGUCAUCCUCAAGGUUGUAUUUUGUAUUGUGCACUAAAAUGAAAUACAAACAAUUUCAGCAUGACAUGCCUGUUUUGCGGCGAUGGUGGUGCCUGUUGCUCCUGGAGAACAAUUCUUUGAACAGGUAGACAGUUUAAGUAAACUAGAUGCCCUAAUUAACUGGAAGACAAUCAAUAUAUUGUACUUAAAGAUAUAUUGUCAUGACAGUUGUGGGAAAAUCUUCGCCCACUGGACCAAAGAAUGUCAAGAGCUCAUUGCUGGAAAGCAUACUCCGGUCUUCAGGCUUAAGAGGAAGGCCGAGCAGCAGGACAUAGAGGUUAGAAAAUUGCCUUCUAAAAACAGUAUUAUCUCAGUGGGAGUCCUUCAAAAUGCACACAGUUGUAUGGAUCAACAUUGUCUCGAUGUAUUUGGUAAUUGAUGUUACUUUUCAAAUUGACUUGUCAAGGAAACCAUGACGCAGACAGCAUCGGAUGUCCAAAGAAUUUGCAUGGCAGAUUCAAUGCAAUUCUGUGUCUACCAGACAUCAAACAACACAGGAGAGAGGUGUGUUGCAGACUCAAUUUAAUAAAUGCAAUUAUCGGGGCAUAUUCAGUGAUUUUCCAUGAAGUGACCACUUUUACAUAUAGUUUAAAUGCACGAAUCAUGUGGGAAAAUUAUUUAUACAUUCAAAUGUGCUGUAGAGGUAUAACCAAUUGGACAGCAUGUUUGUUUAAUAUUAUGUUUGUCUCUCAUUUGAUCAGAUUGCUUUACCCUGAGGUAAAAUUGAUAAAAUGGGUCCAGUGCAAGACGUGCAGGGGCUGGCUGCAUCAGGAUUGUGCCG